RNAcentral lists this transfer RNA (85 nucleotides) under Felis catus (domestic cat). It matches the Rfam family "tRNA". From Rfam's summary of the family: Transfer RNA (tRNA) molecules are approximately 80 nucleotides in length. Their secondary structure includes four short double-helical elements and three loops (D, anti-codon, and T loops). Lineage: Eukaryota; Metazoa; Chordata; Mammalia; Carnivora; Felidae. The record is from Rfam by way of RNAcentral.
GCCUGGGUGGCUCAGUUGGUUAAGCGUCUGACUUCAUCUCAGGUCAUGAUCUCACAGUUCGUGGGUUCGAGCCCCGCGUCGGGCU